AUACGGAGGAUCCGAGCGUUAUCCGGAUUUAUUGGGUUUAAAGGGAGCGUAGGCGGAUUGUUAAGUCAGUUGUGAAAGUUUGCGGCUCAACCGUAAAAUUGCAGUUGAAACUGGCAGUCUUGAGUACAGUAGAGGUGGGCGGAAUUCGUGGUGUAGCGGUGAAAUGCUUAGAUAUCACGAAGAACUCCGAUCGCGAAGGCAGCUCACCGGGCCGGAACUGACACUGAUGCUCGAAAGUGCGGGUAUCAAACAGGAUUAGAUACCCUGGUAGUCCGCACAGUAAACGAUGAAUACUCGCUGUUUGCGAUACACGGUAAGCGGCCAAGCGAAAGCGUUAAGUGAUCCACCUGGGGAGUACGCCGGCAACGGUGAAACUCAAAUGAAUUGACGGGG
RNAcentral lists this ribosomal RNA (393 nucleotides) under uncultured bacterium. RNAcentral's name for it is "partial 16S ribosomal RNA". It matches the Rfam family "Bacterial small subunit ribosomal RNA", at positions 523 to 918 of the family's 1533-position model. The record is from RNAcentral.